UUCUAGCCCCGAUUGCAGCGGCAUCCUUUUGUGGUGGCGGCCGAGCGUAGCGAGGUCGCCACAACAAAAGAUACAACGGAAAGCGGGAAUAGCU
RNAcentral lists this small RNA (94 nucleotides) under Soonwooa buanensis. RNAcentral's name for it is "Flavo-1 RNA". It matches the Rfam family "Flavo-1 RNA". The record is from Rfam by way of RNAcentral. Lineage: Bacteria; Pseudomonadati; Bacteroidota; Flavobacteriia; Flavobacteriales; Weeksellaceae.